Molecule: ribosomal RNA, 741 nt
Filed under: Rothia mucilaginosa
Lineage: Bacteria; Bacillati; Actinomycetota; Actinomycetes; Micrococcales; Micrococcaceae
Description: bacterial SSU rRNA
Rfam family: Bacterial small subunit ribosomal RNA
Source: RNAcentral
GACGAACGCUGGCGGCGUGCAUAACACAUGCAAGUCGAACGAUGAAGCCUAGCUUGCUAGGUGGAUUAGUGGCGAACGGGUGAGUAAUACGUGAGUAACCUACCUUUAACUCUGGGAUAAGCCCGGGAAACUGGGUCUAAUACCGGAUACGACCAAUCUCCGCAUGGGGUGUUGGUGGAAAGCGUUAUGUAGUGGUUAUAGAUGGGCUCACGGCCUAUCAGCUUGUUGGUGAGGUAACGGCUCACCAAGGCGACGACGGGUAGCCGGCCUGAGAGGGUGACCGGCCACACUGGGACUGAGACACGGCCCAGACUCCUACGGGAGGCAGCAGUGGGGAAUAUUGCACAAUGGGCGCAAGCCUGAUGCAGCGACGCCGCGUGAGGGAUGACGGCCUUCGGGUUGUAAACCUCUGUUAGCAGGGAAGAAGAGAGAUUGACGGUACCUGCAGAGAAAGCGCCGGCUAACUACGUGCCAGCAGCCGCGGUAAUACGUAGGGCGCGAGCGUUGUCCGGAAUUAUUGGGCGUAAAGAGCUUGUAGGCGGUUUGUCGCGUCUGCUGUGAAAGGCCGGGGCUUAACUCCGUGUAUUGCAGUGGGUACGGGCAGACUAGAGUGCAGUAGGGGAGACUGGAAUUCCUGGUGUAGCGGUGGAAUGCGCAGAUAUCAGGAGGAACACCGAUGGCGAAGGCAGGUCUCUGGGCUGUAACUGACGCUGAGAAGCGAAAGCAUGGGGAGCGAACAGG